RNAcentral lists this ribosomal RNA (172 nucleotides) under uncultured bacterium. RNAcentral's name for it is "partial 16S ribosomal RNA". It matches the Rfam family "Bacterial small subunit ribosomal RNA", at positions 339 to 525 of the family's 1533-position model. The record is from RNAcentral.
CUACGGGAGGCAGCAGUGGGGAAUAUUGGGCAAUGGGCGAAAGCCUGACCCAGCAACGCCGCGUGAAGGAAGAAGGUUUUCGGAUUGUAAACUUCUUUUAUCAGGGACGAAGAAAGUGACGGUACCUGAUGAAUAAGCCACGGCUAACUACGUGCCAGCAGCCGCGGUAAUA